Molecule: long non-coding RNA, 780 nt
Organism: Rhipicephalus microplus (southern cattle tick)
Lineage: Eukaryota; Metazoa; Arthropoda; Arachnida; Ixodida; Ixodidae
Source: RefSeq, a predicted model, not a curated record
AUCUCGCUGCACUGAACUUUCUGACUUCAUGUAGACAAAAUUUAUGUUUGCAGCUGUUGCUUUGACGCCACCUUAUGAAUAGACUAUCGAAACUCUUAUUUCUAGAACAGGCCAGUGCGUUUCUCGGAGAUACUGUGCAAGAAUGUGCAGCUUGCUCUUUAUCCACCUAUUACUUUUCUAUGCUUUGCUGGGUUACAUACCAGCCCAUACUAAGGCUAGUUAUGAAGAAAACGACGGGUUAUUUAUGUUCGACACUUCCUUGAAAAAACGCGUUGAAGUAAGUGAACGAAGGAAUCGGCGGGGCAGAUGGAACAGAGAUAUCGGCGAAAGAUGCACUAUGAACAGUGAUUGCCAACCGGAUCUAUGUUGUGUGUGGCAACGUCAAGCACCAAGAUGUCAAUUGCAGGCGGAAAUGGGAGAACGCUGCGGUUUUUUUCUAUUUGGGAGAAGCAUUUACAUUGGCCAUUGUGGCUGUGCAGUUUGGGGCGCGCGCUGUAUAGGAGGAAGAUGCAGAUAAUAAGGAUUUUUUACCUGCCACAUUGCACCAGAUACACGUCAAAGAAAUUAAUUUCUUCGUCAUAUGCUGAUAUGUCAAGACGUUUCUAUUUUACAACAUUGUAUUGAUGCAUUCGCUCACAGAAAAUAUCAACUGACAGAAACCUAAAUGCUUAUUUUAUUCUUUCAAGGCUAACCUCAAUGUUUUGUGAUUAAAGAGCUGUUUUCACAGUGAAAAGUAAAGCAAAUAAACAUACGUGUGCUCUAAAUAAAGCUAUCAAGAUG